CCCUUAGAUGUUCUGGGCCGCACGCGCGCUACACUGACGAAUGCAACGAGCUUAUAACCUUGGCCGAAAGGUCUGGGUAAUCUCCAAAUUUCGUCGUGAUGGGGAUAGAUUAUUGCAAUUAUUAAUCUUCAACGAGGAAUGCCUAGUAAGCGCAAGUCAUCAGCUUGCGUUGAUUACGUCCCUGCCCUUUGUACACACCGCCCGUCGCUCCUACCGAUUGAAUGGUCCGGUGAAGCGUUCGGACCGUGGCCUUUGGACGGUUCGCCGUCUGUUGGCUGCGGGAAGUUCAUUAAACCUUAUCAUUUAGAGGAAGGAGAAGUCGUAACA
Molecule: ribosomal RNA, 327 nt
Filed under: uncultured eukaryote
Lineage: Eukaryota
Description: partial 18S ribosomal RNA
Rfam family: Eukaryotic small subunit ribosomal RNA
Source: RNAcentral